Molecule: small RNA, 127 nt
Filed under: Marmota monax (woodchuck)
Lineage: Eukaryota; Metazoa; Chordata; Mammalia; Rodentia; Sciuridae
Source: RNAcentral
GCCAGGUGUGGUGGUGCAUACCUGUAACCCCAGCAGCUUGGGAGGCUGAGGCAGGAGGAUUGCAAGUUUAAUACCAGCCUCAGCAAUUUAGUGAGGCCCUAAGCAACUUAGUGAGAACCUGUCUUAA